This is a long non-coding RNA of Lemur catta (Ring-tailed lemur), 920 nucleotides long. RefSeq lists it as uncharacterized. NCBI's taxonomy places the organism in Eukaryota, Metazoa, Chordata, Mammalia, Primates, Lemuridae. The record is from RefSeq and is a predicted model, not a curated record. The transcript is spliced from 4 exons.
CUUAGAGCGGAAGGAAGCUUUCAAACGGUGGCUGCUGCAAUAGGAGAGGUUUCUCAGGGACGGAGAUACCCUGGAGCCCAGGCAGGAAGAUGCCAGACCACAUCCUGUUCUGGAAACUACACCUCGCUUCCUCUACAACCAGCUGGGGCCCUGGAGAGAAAAGCCCCAGGGAGUGGAGCUUGGCAGGGAAUUGGCAGAGCCCCUCUGAGCCGGCAUCCUCCACACCCACAGAUCCUCUAGGACUACUGCAGUCUGAGGGACACACCCCAGCUUGGGAACAAAAUCAACUUCGUCAUGCCAGGAUGGCUAAGCCUCGGGCAACACUCUCUCUGUCACAGCCUUGAAAAAGUUCCUGAGUGCACAGUAGGAGCGUAAACUUCCUCAAGAAGAGACGGAACCAGUUGCCUCCCGCUAUCAAGAAGAAAGAAGAAACAAUUUCUACUGCCCAUCUGCCCCGUGAGAAACAGAAAAAGCCAACACAGCAGCUUCACAGCUGCUUCGGUUAUCAGUGCCCUGAACAGCGAUAGAGAAAAGCCAUUUCUACCCUUGAAAAGCGCCAGCUCUCCUCCCUCUACUUCCCACCCGAACAACUUCCCGGAGUGUGAGCCUGUCUGAUCUCACCCUACUGAGAGAAGGAAAGUGAAGCUGUGGUGUGGAGACCCUUGGAUGUCAGACCAAGACAAAGGAGACACUCGCUUACCUGCUGGACUCAAUGUGCCCACCAACCUCCAGACUUGACCUCGUGAGGACGUCACCAGCCUGGUCACGGUGACCCCCACCGGCAUAAAAAAGCCCCUUGCGGCUUGGGACAGGAUCCCUCUGUAGAUCUCUUCACAGAUCUAUGCAAGUGAAAGAACUGAAAAUGGUGCUUCUGCUGUGGAUUUGUUUCUAACAUGCCGCCACGACUCUUGACUUUUCCA